RNAcentral lists this ribosomal RNA (448 nucleotides) under uncultured bacterium. RNAcentral describes it as "bacterial SSU rRNA". It matches the Rfam family "Bacterial small subunit ribosomal RNA", at positions 330 to 797 of the family's 1533-position model. The record is from RNAcentral.
ACCAGACUCCUACGGGAGGCAGCAGUGGGGAAUAUUGCACAAUGGGGGAAACCCUGAUGCAGCGACGCCGCGUGAGUGAAGAAGUAUUUCGGUAUGUAAAGCUCUAUCAGCAGGGAAGAAAAUGACGGUACCUGACUAAGAAGCCCCGGCUAACUACGUGCCAGCAGCCGCGGUAAUACGUAGGGGGCAAGCGUUAUCCGGAUUUACUGGGUGUAAAGGGAGCGUAGACGGCGGAACAAGUCAGAAGUGAAAACCCGGGGCUCAACCCUGGGAGUGCUUUUGAAACUGUUUGGCUGGAGUGCAGGAGAGGUAAGCGGAAUUCCUAGUGUAGCGGUGAAAUGCGUAGAUAUUAGGGGGAACACCAGUGGCGAAGGCGGCUUACUGGACUGUAACUGACGUUGAGGCUCGAAAGCGUGGGGAGCAAACAGGAUUAGAUACCCCAGUACUA